This 468-nucleotide ribosomal RNA is filed under the name uncultured bacterium. RNAcentral describes it as "partial 16S ribosomal RNA". It matches the Rfam family "Bacterial small subunit ribosomal RNA", at positions 28 to 507 of the family's 1533-position model. The record is from RNAcentral.
GACGAACGCUGGCGGCGUGCUUAACACAUGCAAGUCGAACGGAAAGGCCCUGCUUUUGUGGGGUGCUCGAGUGGCGAACGGGUGAGUAACACGUGAGUAACCUGCCCUUGACUUUGGGAUAACUUCAGGAAACUGGGGCUAAUACCGGAUAGGAGCUCCUGCUGCAUGGUGGGGGUUGGAAAGUUUCGGCGGUUGGGGAUGGACUCGCGGCUUAUCAGCUUGUUGGUGGGGUAGUGGCUUACCAAGGCUUUGACGGGUAGCCGGCGCGAGAGGGUGACCAGCCACAUUGGGACUGAGAUACGGCCCAGACUCCUACGGGAGGCAGCAGUGGGAAAUAUUGCACAAUGAGCGGAAGCCUGAUGCAGCAACGCCGCGUGCGGGAUGGCGGCCUUCGGGUUGUAAACCGCUUUCGCCUGUGACGAAGCGUGAGUGACGGUAAUGGGUAAAGAAGCACCGGCUAACUACGUG